CCGAUGCAUUCAACUUUGAACUUCAAAGUUGAAUGCAUUGUUAUUUGAUCACUUGAUAUAACUCGCAAUCAUCGAUCGAAGUCAUGGCUGUCGAGAAUAUCAAACACGAUCUGUGUACUCUGCUUCGAGAAGAGAAGUCAUUUGAUAUUAAUGGAGUGCGUCGAACCUAUGAAACGAGAGCUGCUACUUUUAUUUCAAAAUCCUCUCCUUGGAAUCCCUUUCAAAGGGUAAAAAUGGGAGAGAUAUGUCAAGUGAAAUGUUAAUACCUAAGCACUUGACAAUUCAUUGGCAAAGUGGAGAACUAAGAGCUUUAAAAGCUAUCAGUGUCAAAGCUGCGAAAUGAUUCCUGCCAGUCACAGACAUACUGCCAAAGACCAGCAAAUUCAUUGAAAUCAAUCACACCAUUGCCAUCUGUAUCAAACAUCCCUGAAAAUGGAGAACUUUAUAGAUAUCUUGUCUGGUUGGUAGUAAUCGCACACAAAUGUUUUAGAACUUUAUUGUAGUAGGUAAUGUCUAGAACAAUUCAUUCUCUUACAGUUCUUUUCAUGACCAAGGUUUGAGAGAACCUGUGUGAAACACUACUUGACUCUUUUGAACUUAAAUUUGUGGCUACACAUACAAUGACACAGGUAUACAAAUACAACAAUUUAAGCAUGUAAACAAGAGAAAUAGAACAA
Xenia sp. Carnegie-2017 is the source of this 677-nucleotide long non-coding RNA. RefSeq lists it as uncharacterized. The record is from RefSeq and is a predicted model, not a curated record. Lineage: Eukaryota; Metazoa; Cnidaria; Anthozoa; Malacalcyonacea; Xeniidae. The transcript has 2 exons.